Molecule: long non-coding RNA, 290 nt
Filed under: Elaeis guineensis (African oil palm)
Lineage: Eukaryota; Viridiplantae; Streptophyta; Magnoliopsida; Arecales; Arecaceae
Description: long non-coding RNA (EGUI_LNC039085)
Source: RNAcentral
GUAGAGUUGACUCGAUUUGGGUCGAGCUGGCUUGGGACCCUAAGAGAGCCGGCUCGGAUGUAGAACAGGCUAGCACGCGGGUGGCAUGGCCAUCCAGCCGACUCGAGGUCUGAUCGAGCCUGCUUGAGUUGCAAGCAGAACUGUGUGAAUUCUGUUUCGAGUUAGGAUUGGAUUUGAUCCUAGGGGUUUUGAGGCCUUAUUUGGGAGGUCUUAAAGAGGCUAACUCAAGAGUUUGGACUGGGAUUAAGUCUACAAGGUGAGAGCAUGUGAGAUAUGGAUGAGAUAUGAUU